RNAcentral lists this ribosomal RNA (465 nucleotides) under Vreelandella stevensii. RNAcentral describes it as "partial 16S ribosomal RNA". It matches the Rfam family "Bacterial small subunit ribosomal RNA", at positions 338 to 795 of the family's 1533-position model. The record is from RNAcentral. Lineage: Bacteria; Pseudomonadati; Pseudomonadota; Gammaproteobacteria; Oceanospirillales; Halomonadaceae.
CCUACGGGAGGCUGCAGUGGGGAAUAUUGGACAAUGGGGGCAACCCUGAUCCAGCCAUGCCGCGUGUGUGAAGAAGGCCCUCGGGUUGUAAAGCACUUUCAGUGAGGAAGAACGCCUGGUGGUUAAUACCCAUCAGGAAAGACAUCACUCACAGAAGAAGCACCGGCUAACUCCGUGCCAGCAGCCGCGGUAAUACGGAGGGUGCGAGCGUUAAUCGGAAUUACUGGGCGUAAAGCGCGCGUAGGUGGCUUGAUAAGCCGGUUGUGAAAGCCCCGGGCUCAACCUGGGAACGGCAUCCGGAACUGUCAAGCUAGAGUGCAGGAGAGGAAGGUAGAAUUCCCGGUGUAGCGGUGAAAUGCGUAGAGAUCGGGAGGAAUACCAGUGGCGAAGGCGGCCUUCUGGACUGACACUGGCACUGAGGUGCGAAAGCGUGGGUAGCAAACAGGAUUAGAUACCCGAGUAGUC